GUAAAUUUUUAUUGUUUUUAUGACAUUUUGAAAGGAACAAUAUUUAUGGGUCUACAGAUUUUCAAUUAAAAAUAAUCACAGUUUGACACUAGAUGAAUGCAUAAACUUGAACUGUGAAAAAAAAUAUUGUAGAAAACAUUUCAAAAGCAUAAAAUACAUUAAAAUAUUAACACUAAGGUUUAACAAUUAUCAUACAAAGGUAGAAAAUCUGUGUCUUUUCUUACAUACAAUAUCUGUAACAAAUAUAAACUUGCACAUUAUCUUCUGUAUGAUCUACAGUAUGUAUUUAUUAAAAUGGUGUAAAUACUACCCAGAAAGUCUCCCGUAAUUAACAUGAUUCUAAAAGGAAAAUAAUCAUCCUGUUUGGUUUUAUAAGGAGAGUUUAAUCAGAGGCUUGAAAACUACAUUACUGAUAGUCAGAGGCUCUGACACCCACCCUAGUUGACCAGCAGGUUGUCAUAAUGAUUUUAGAUGGACCUCUACAAACUAUUAGGUUUGGUUCAACCUUGCAGUAUAAUGAAACUAACCUUUGUUAAAGCUAAAACUAUGUAAGUUAUGAAAAACAAUGUUUGUUGAACUUAAUAAUACAUCAUUAGUAAGAAUUUUACAUGAAUAUUCCUUAUCACAUACUAUAGAUCAUACAUACUAUCUAGAGAAAUAUUUUGUCUUUAUUGGGUAGAACACUAAAAACAAAAUUUGCCAUUGAUUACCAAGACUGCACAAAAAAAAAUUUGAGUGGGCUCGGAAAUAAGUAAAAGUCACUGUAGAUUUAAAUAGAUGGGCUUUUUUGCACAAAAAUCAAAUAAAUUUUACAAAGAACCAUUUAAAUCAGAAUGAUUUUCAACAUUACUACAUGUAUCUUGACCCAAAUCUUUAAAACUUGCUAGAGAUGGGAUCCAAAAGGAUAUAAUGGUUUUAUGCAUGUUCUUCAUGAUUGGUAUAUAUUACACAAUAAACUAUGCUAAUGUUAACAAAUUUUUCAUGCAAGCAUUUAGUUCAAUUGGAAUUUUAUCCAGAAAAUUAAAAAAAAAAAAAAUUGAUAUUGACAGAAAAUAAUUGUCGUGUGAAAUUGAUUUAUUCAGUUGACUUUAUAUCAAAUGUACCUAAGUUCCACUUGAAGAAUUAAGGUUUCACUGAAAAAAUACACCACCUUUGUAAGAAAAAGGAUUUAUUCUAUAAUUAGUUUAGUAGUUUGAUUUUGCAGUUUUAAUAAACAUACCAGUUAAAAAAAGUUUUAAGGAGGACUGGUGUCAUGAGAAGACUGUUUUAAUAAGCAAACAUAUUUAAAAGUAGAUGCAGACAUACAUUUACACAUACAAGGGGACUUAAAAGACAUUUCAAAUAGUUAUCUAUCCAUAAAAGACAAAAUAAAUUUCUUCAAGAUACAUGGACAUCAUCUGUAUUCCUAUAUAAAAUUCAACAAGGGCAAUAAAUUUGUUCUCAAUGAAAAUAACUGUAUGGAAAGACUUAGGUAAAAAGAACAUAUGUACAAAUAGUAAGGGACAGUUUUCUUUUCUAAUCUUUCAGUGGUCAAACAUAAUUGGUGAUUUCAAACAAUGAACUUUGGUUCGAACAUUGUAAAUUCAGAAUUUAUUGCAAGGAUUUUAUUAACGCAAAUACUAUGACUAGGUGAGUAUCGAAAUAAUAAAAACUUGCAAUCAGAUCAUUGAAACACAGACCUGUAUGCAUUUUUUCCUUCAAAAUCACAAAUUUAGCAAUUAUUAACCAGCAUUUUGUCUAUUAGCAAAAAUUGCAAUAAUAAAUGCAAGCAUUAAUUUCUGAAUUUACUUUUCUAGUAGCUUGUUGAAAAAAUCUUUCAAGGCAAAACUACCUGUCAUUUGAAUCAUACAAAUGUUUAAACCUAAAUAAUGAAAUCUUCCUCAGAUUUGGGGAAGUGCUAUAAAAUCUUCAAUGAAAAUCCAUAUAUAGACAAUCUAAAAAUAACUAAAUAAAUAUGCAUAAUUUAUGCUCAACUGUAUGUCAGCCUAAGAUGAACUGGUAAAAAAAUAUUAAAGGUUCCUGCAUGCAGUUGCAUAGAUAUACUUUAUUUUUGGAAUAAUGACCACUGCAAGAUUAAUUCAAACAAGACUUGAUACAUUACAAAAAUACACAUCAAAAAGCUUUACACGAUAUUAGACAACAGUACAUGUUUUACAGACUUAAAAAACAUAGACAAAAUGUAGUUACUAUACAUGAAUGAGGUAUAUUUUAUUUCAAAUUUUGAACCAGCAAGAAUAUAUUUUCAAUACACCAAUUUCUAGUUCAUGGAUUUCUCAACUCGUCUUAAUUUUGCACUAGUUGAACUGAAUGUGAACAGUAAGGACCCUUUAAAAUAUUGCAUGAAAAACAUUAUUUUUUUCAAUGGGAGACAAACUAGAAAUUGGUGUAUAUCUUCAGCACAGUUUGAUGCUAAUCAAUAACAAUUAUUCACAUAGCAUGAUUUUUCUUGGUUCAAUGCAUGAAAGCUGACCUGCAGCUUGAGGGCAUUUAAAACCCAUUGGUAAAAUGAUCUGACAUGAUCGGUAAAAAGGAAUGCUGAUAACUUGAAUAUAACCACACUAAAUCAAUUAUGGAGUCUUGUUCAUUUUUUUUUAACGUUUGUAAUGAACUUCUUGUAACUUGUUUGAGUAUUUUUGCCUAAUUAAUUCAAUGACGAAAAAAAAUAACCUGUGUGUGAAAUGUCUUCCUAGAAAUCAAAGCACUUUUAUUUUUGCUUUUAACUUUUAGUUUAUUUGUAACCUGCAUAUUCUAGGCUCAAUGAAUAUAUUUGUGUAAACUUUACCAAAACAAUCCCUCGAAUAACAGGGUACCUGAUAUAAUCUUUGAAAUACAUUUUUAAAAUUAUAUAACUAUUUGAAUUUAAAAAUUUAUAAGCUGUCACCAGAUUUUGAUAUUUUAGAGGAUUAUAUCACUUAAAGCUAAUAACAUUGAUAAAAUUAUCAAAGAAGACAAUCUGUCCUCAAAAACUUUUGACACAAGUAAAAAGUACCAAAAUUUACCAGGUUAACUUCUCUAUGUAAUAAAUCUUCGGAAAUUUAUUAUCGGAGAAGACUUUGCUCAGUUAAAAACUUUUGUCUGAUCCAGUAUUUCUUUAGAACAAUAUUAUAUAUGUUUAAACUAACAAAUUAUCGAUAAACAAUAGCAAAACUUGAAGAAAUUUUAAGUCUUCUAUAUUUCACAAUUUUCAAGAAAGUUUUACCUAUCUGAUAUGUUAGUUGCCAUCAAAAAUUAAAAUAUUAAAUUUAGUGCAGAUCUAGAAAUAAUAUACUUUAAAUAUUCAAAUACAAAACAGUAUACAUGUACAUGUAUAUGUAUAUAUAUAUUUUACUACAAAUAAGACCAUUAUUUUACUGACCUUUGAACCAUUGCCCUAUAUCCUUAACCUAACUACUGGCCAUCUGCAGGUCAAGAUCAGGUGAUAAAAAAUGACUACUUAUAGUUGAGCAAUCUGCUGUCUUAUAUUGUUACCAUAUGGUAAAAAUUAAAUAAUUUAAAUGCCCCAAAAAGUGCAAGCCAGGGCCGACAGUGCAAGGGCUGUAUAGCCAGUCAAGGUCAUUAAAAACUUCCAUUUGUUGUUGUCUUAUAUUCAUUAUCAUAUUACCAUUACUUCAAAGCAUUAAAAUCCCUAUCUUCCAUUAAAACUGAUUCCUGGAUUAUUUCUCAUUUAUGACCAAAAAAAAUUUCUACAGCUUUCAAAAAUAAUGGAUACAGCUUUCAAAGAUUUUUUGCAUUGAUAUAGAGACACACACUACAAUAUGAGCUUUUUUUUUACUUUAGGGACUUUCUUGUCUAAUUUUAACAAUGACAGAUCUAUGUGACGAAACCAUUUACCUUUUUACUUUUCUGAAAAUAAUAAGAGUAUGGAAAUUAAAUGUGUAAGACUUUUAAAAUUC
Molecule: long non-coding RNA, 3893 nt
Filed under: Mytilus galloprovincialis (Mediterranean mussel)
Lineage: Eukaryota; Metazoa; Mollusca; Bivalvia; Mytilida; Mytilidae
Source: RNAcentral